Molecule: ribosomal RNA, 521 nt
Filed under: uncultured bacterium
Lineage: Bacteria
Description: bacterial SSU rRNA
Rfam family: Archaeal small subunit ribosomal RNA
Source: RNAcentral
AACCUCCGCAAUGUGAGAAAUCGCGACGGGGGGAUCCCAAGUGCCAUUCUUAACGGGAUGGCUUUUCAUUAGUGUAAAGAGCUUUUGGAAUAAGAGCUGGGCAAGACCGGUGCCAGCCGCCGCGGUAACACCGGCAGCUCUAGUGGUAACAAUUUUUAUUGGGCCUAAAGCGUCCGUAGCCGGUUUAAUAAGUCUCUGGUGAAAUCCUGCAGCUUAACUGUGGGAAUUGCUGGAGAUACUAUUAGACUUGAGACCGGGAGAGGUUAGAGGUACUCCCAGGGUAGAGGUGAAAUUCUGUAAUCCUGGGAGGACCGCCUGUUGCGAAGGCGUCUAACUGGAACGGUUCUGACGGUGAGGGACGAAAGUUAGGGGCGCGAACCGGGAUUAGAUACCCGGGUAGUCCUAACUGUAAACGAUGCGGACUUGGUGUUGGGGUGGCUUUGAGCUGCUUCAGUGCCGAAGGGAAGCUGUUAAGUCCGCCGCCUGGGAAGUACGGUCGCAAGACUGAAACUUAAGGAAUU